Long non-coding RNA from Orbicella faveolata, 1497 nucleotides. The record is from RefSeq and is a predicted model, not a curated record. NCBI's taxonomy places the organism in Eukaryota, Metazoa, Cnidaria, Anthozoa, Scleractinia, Merulinidae.
ACAGCUAACUUAAGAACUUCUAAAUAACCUCGAAAACAACUGUUAUUGAGCAGUUUGUUGAUGAAUCACUCAGUGGAGGUUAUCUGACCUGCUUUUUCCUUUUUUAAUUUUAGGAGUUGUGUCUUCCAACACAUAUUUGAUCAUAAGCUUCAAGGUUAUCCACCGUGUGUUAGCUUUUUUCCUAUAUUCCUGAAGUCUUUGUCCUUACAGUCAUAAGUAGUCGGCAAGGGUUGCAAUGUGCCUGUUGCUGUAUGCCAAAACCAGGCUUGCUCUCAUUUGAAACAUUACACAGGUAAAAGAUGGAGAAUGUGGGUAACAUUUGCUUGCUUUCAGCCAAAUCAUAUCUGUGUUCUGAACUUAUGGCCCGAUAGUCGUUCUGACUGGUCAUACAGCUUUCUUGGGAAUGUCCAGUCAAAAAGACAUUGAUGUCAGGUUCCACCUUUCUCCAAGGGACUUUGUCUUCUAGGAUCUUUGAAAGUCUCGAUUUAGCCAUCUCUAUGCUGGAGUUAAUUUGGGGGAAAGUUGACACAUCUGCUCUGCAAUUUGACAGCUCCUUUAUUAAAGUGUCUCCCAGAAUGUAGAAAGUAUCCACAAGAAGUUGACAAUUCUGGCCUGGAGUGUGACAGCUCCCUACUUUGUACUCCUUAGGAGGCAUUUGUCGAUGAAAAUGUACCAUAUAACAUGCUAUAAUUAGGUUUAGUGUAUAGAAUAUGGUAAUUAAAGUAGUUGAACAAGUCUUUUUAUCAUAAUUAUUUUUUUUUUGAAAUUUCCACGGCUCCAUAGAAGAGCACAAUAAUGUAUUAGCAACAUCAUCAGCACUUAAACAUUUUUUUUUGUUUUAUUAUGUGCAUAACUGGAUGUUAUUGCUCCAUGGCACUAUUCCCAAGAGGAAACUGUACCUAUGAUUCUCAAGCCUUCCUCCCGUGGUAACCAGCAAUGAAGUUUGCAGUAUUUUCAACAAGUAACAUCAAACAUCAUUGGAUGGAGGGUACAGAAACUCUGAAUCAUUUUGUGUACAAUAUAUGUUGGAGCAAAAUGUAUGCAACUUUAUGAUUUGAAAUCUUUUAUUUAUGAUGAUUUCCUGAGAAUAUUUGAUUUUGUAGUAACCACUUAAUAAUCAUAUUAACUGUUUGUAACAAGAACUCUGAGCAGUAAACUUUGAACUUUGAUGAUUAAUGCCAUAGCUUUGAACAGAAGUUGUCUUGUAUUCAUUGCCAUCUUUGGUGCAACUGUAUAUUCUGAGAUUCACAGACAGAAGCUUGUUUGAGCUCAAAAGCAGCAAUUGUUUUAAUAUUACUCCAUUCUGUGUCCUUCAGUAGGUUUCCAGCAAAUUCAAAUGUUUAGAUUUGCAAAGAGUAAUUCUUCUCCUGGUGAUAGGUAAACUCUUUGUUUUAUUAGCUACAGUAUUUGUCUACUCACUGUUGUCAAAAAUGACAAUCAAACCUAAGCAAAAUAGCAAUCAUUUCCUAUGAUGAAUAAAGACAAGUAUGAAGUAUA